GGCUCAGAACGAACGCUGGCGGCGCGCUUAACACAUGCAAGUCUCAGGGGUCCCGCAAGGGAUCACUGGCGGACGGGUGAGUAACACGUGAGUAAUCAUCCUUCGAGUGUGGAAUAACCUGCCGAAAGGCGGGCUAAUACCGCAUAACACUCCCUGAACCACGGUUCGGGGAUUCAAAGCCGGGGACCGCAAGGCCUGGCGCUUGAAGACGAGCUCGCGUCCGAUUAGCUAGUUGGUGAGGUAAUGGCUCACCAAGGCUUCGAUCGGUAGCCGAUCUGAGAGGAUGACCGGCCACACUGGCACUGCGACACGGGCCAGACUCCUACGGGAGGCAGCAGUGGGGAAUCUUGGGCAAUGGGCGAAAGCCUGACCCAGCGACGCCGCGUGAAGGAUGAAGGUCUUCGGAUUGUAAACUUCUGUGAGGACAGAAAAAGGGUGCAUCCAUUAAUACCGGAUGCAUUUGAUAGUAUGUCCAGAGGAAGCCCCGGCUAACUCCGUGCCAGCAGCCGCGGUAAUACGGAGGGGGCUAGCGUUGUUCGGAAUUACUGGGCGUAAAGGGCGCGUAGGCGGCUUGCUAAGUCGGUGGUGAAAUCCCGUGGCUCAACUACGGAACUGCCAUCGAUACUGGCGAGCUUGAAUCCGGGAUAGGUCGGCGGAAUUGCUGGUGUAGCGGUGAAAUGCGUAGAUAUCAGCAGGAACACCGAUGGCGAAGGCAGCUGGCUGGACCGGUAUUGACGCUGAGGCGCGAAAGCGUGGGUAGCAAACAGGAUUAGAUACCCUGGUAGUCCACGCCCUAAACGAUGGAUACUUGGUGUGACCGGCGCAGUGCCGGUUGUGCCGCAGCUAACGCAGUAAGUAUCCCGCCUGGGGAGUACGAUCGCAGGAUUGAAACUC
This 894-nucleotide ribosomal RNA is filed under the name uncultured bacterium. RNAcentral's name for it is "bacterial SSU rRNA". It matches the Rfam family "Bacterial small subunit ribosomal RNA", at positions 21 to 902 of the family's 1533-position model. The record is from RNAcentral.